RNAcentral lists this ribosomal RNA (497 nucleotides) under uncultured bacterium. RNAcentral describes it as "partial 16S ribosomal RNA". It matches the Rfam family "Bacterial small subunit ribosomal RNA", at positions 28 to 507 of the family's 1533-position model. The record is from RNAcentral.
GAUGAACGCUGGCGGCGUGCCUAAUACAUGCAAGUCGAACGAACGGACGCGAAGCUUGCUGCUCUGAUUUUAGCGGCGGACGGGUGUGUAACACGUGGAUCACCUACCUAUAAGACUGGGAUAACUGCGGAAAACCGGAUCUAAUACCGGAUAAUAUUUUGAACCGCAGGGGUCAGAGGUGAAAGACGGUCUUGCUGGCACUUAUAGAUGGAUCCGCGCUGCAUUAGCUGGUUGGUAAGGUAACGGCGUACCAAGGCAACGAUGCAUAGCCGACCUGAGAGGGUGAUCGGCCACACUGGAACUCAGGCACUGUCCAGCCGCCUACGGGAGGACGCGGGAGGGAAGCGGGGGAAAUUGGAGAAAGCGUGACGGAGCAACGCCGCGUGAGUGAGGAAGGGCUUCCGGUCUUAAAACUCUGUUAUUAGGGAAGAACAGAUGUGGAAGUAACUUUGCAGUUGUUGACGGUACCUAAAUAGAAAGCCACGGCUAACUACGUG